RNAcentral lists this transfer RNA (91 nucleotides) under Cercophora newfieldiana. It matches the Rfam family "tRNA". Rfam says of the family: Transfer RNA (tRNA) molecules are approximately 80 nucleotides in length. The record is from Rfam by way of RNAcentral. Lineage: Eukaryota; Fungi; Ascomycota; Sordariomycetes; Sordariales; Lasiosphaeriaceae.
GGUUGUAUAGUGUAGCGGUUAUCACAUCGGAUUCUGAUUCAGCAUCUGCUUGGUCCUUCCGGUAACCCCGGUUCGAUUCCGGGUACGACCU